GACGAACGCUGGCGGCGUGCUUAACACAUGCAAGUCGAACGGAAAGGCCCUGCUUUUGUGGGGUGCUCGAGUGGCGAACGGGUGUGUAACACGUGAGUAACCUGCCCUUGACUUUGGGAUAACUUCAGGAAACUGGGGCUAAUACCGUAUAGGAGCUCCCGCUGCAUGGUGGGGGUUGGAAAGUUUCGGAGGUUGGGGAUGGACUCGCGGCUUAUCAGCUUGUUGGUGGGGUAGCGGCUUACCAAGGCUUUGACGGGAAGCCGGACUGAGAGGGUGACCGGCCACAGUGGGUCUGCGAUACGGCCAAUAGCCAUACGGGACACAGCAGUGAGGAAUAUUGGAAUAUGGGCAGAAACCUGAAGCAGCAACGUAGCGAGCGGGUUUACGGCCUGCGGGUGGAAAACCAAUUUCGCCUGUGACGAAGAGUGAGUGACGGUAAUGGGUAAAGAAGCACCGGCUAGCUACUUG
RNAcentral lists this ribosomal RNA (468 nucleotides) under uncultured bacterium. Its description in RNAcentral is "partial 16S ribosomal RNA". It matches the Rfam family "Bacterial small subunit ribosomal RNA", at positions 28 to 507 of the family's 1533-position model. The record is from RNAcentral.